GACGAACGCUGGCGGCGUGCUUAACACAUGCAAGUCGAACGGAAAGGCCCUGCUUUUGUGGGGUGCUCGAGUGGCGAACGGGUGAGUAACACGUGAGUAACCUGCCCUUGACUUUGGGAUAACUUCAGGAAACUGGGGCUAAUACCGGAUAGGAGCUCCUGCUGCAUGGUGGGGGUUGGAAAGUUUCGGCGGUUGGGGAUGGACUCGCGGCUUAUCAGCUUGUUGGUGGGGUAGUGGCUUACCAAGGCUUUGACGGGUAGCCGGCCUGAGAGGGUGACCGGCCACAUUGGGACUGAGAUGCGGCCCAGACUCCUACGGGAGGCAGGAGUGGGGAAUAUUGCACAAUGGGCGGAAGCCGUAUGCAGGAACGCCGCGUGCGGGAUGACGGCCUUCGGGUUGUAAACCGCUUUCGCCUGUGACGAAGCGUGAGUGACGGUAAUGGGUAAAGAAGCACCGGCUAACUACGUG
This 468-nucleotide ribosomal RNA is filed under the name uncultured bacterium. RNAcentral describes it as "partial 16S ribosomal RNA". It matches the Rfam family "Bacterial small subunit ribosomal RNA", at positions 28 to 507 of the family's 1533-position model. The record is from RNAcentral.